RNAcentral lists this RNase P RNA (233 nucleotides) under Actinomycetota bacterium. Its description in RNAcentral is "Actinobacteria bacterium (hot springs metagenome) partial RNase P RNA component class A". It matches the Rfam family "Bacterial RNase P class A", at positions 138 to 367 of the family's 367-position model. From Rfam's summary of the family: Ribonuclease P (RNase P) is a ubiquitous endoribonuclease, found in archaea, bacteria and eukarya as well as chloroplasts and mitochondria. Its best characterised activity is the generation of mature 5'-ends of tRNAs by cleaving the 5'-leader elements of precursor-tRNAs. The record is from RNAcentral. Lineage: Bacteria; Bacillati; Actinomycetota.
GCGCCGGCGGGUAAGGGUGAAAAGGUGGGGUAAGAGCCCACCAGCGGUCCUGGUGACAGGGCCGGCUUGGUAAACCCCUCCCGGAGCAAGGCCAAAUAGGAGCCGAUGCUGUGGCCCGCAGCGCUUGAGGCUCGGGUAGGCCGCUAGAGGCCGUCGGUAACGGCGGUCCCAGAUGGAUGACCACCACCUGGAUUUUCCAGGUACAGAAUCCGGCUUAUAGGCCGACUCUCUCC